GCUUCACAGAAGGCUCCUCUAUACUUUGCACUCACAUCAGUGCCCACUGUAAGAUAGGGAGGCUCAUCGAUGGCCUUCAUGAUGAGCUCAGGCUGCGGUAAAACCCUCGGCGGGGGCUGAGCGGCCGAGACCGGACCUUUGUUCCGCGGCGCCCGCCCGCUGCUCCCCGACCCCAGGCGGGGGGGAGCGAAGGGAGCGGGGCGAAGCCUCCUCUCGGCUCCGGGUCCCCGUCACACCAGCUUCGGUUCCCGCUCGGCACUCCGUAACGGCUCUGCUCGCGGCUGCUGCGCGCGGCGGGGCCGAUCCGAUCCGUCCCGCCCGGACCCGGCGGCGGCGGCAGCGACUGCUGGGCUCGGAGCCUCUCGGUCCCCCUCCCCCUCCCGCACCGAGCGACUGACUGACGGACGGACGGGCCGGGCCACGCC
RNAcentral lists this long non-coding RNA (425 nucleotides) under Gallus gallus (chicken). Lineage: Eukaryota; Metazoa; Chordata; Aves; Galliformes; Phasianidae. The record is from RNAcentral.